CCUUUGACGUUAGCGGCGGACGGGUGAGUAACACGUGGGUAACCUACCUAUAAGACUGGGAUAACUUCGGGAAACCGGAGCUAAUACCGGAUAAUAUUUCGAACCGCAUGGUUCGAUAGUGAAAGGUGGUUUUGCUAUCACUUAUAGAUGGACCCGCGCCGUAUUAGCUAGUUGGUAAGGUAACGGCUUACCAAGGCGACGAUACGUAGCCGACCUGAGAGGGUGAUCGGCCACACUGGAACUUGAGACACGGUCCAGACUCCUACGGGAGGCAGCAGUU
Molecule: ribosomal RNA, 280 nt
Filed under: uncultured Staphylococcus sp.
Lineage: Bacteria; Bacillati; Bacillota; Bacilli; Caryophanales; Staphylococcaceae
Description: partial 16S ribosomal RNA
Rfam family: Bacterial small subunit ribosomal RNA
Source: RNAcentral